GCAUUAAUGGGGUAGUGGUAACCUGGGUCGUUGCCAUUCAACACUCCUUCCAUGUUGAGCGGCUCUCGACCCGCCGGGGGUUCGAUUCCCCCUUAAUGCA
Non-coding RNA from Lentinula raphanica, 100 nucleotides. The record is from the annotation of a GenBank genome assembly. Lineage: Eukaryota; Fungi; Basidiomycota; Agaricomycetes; Agaricales; Omphalotaceae.